Molecule: transfer RNA, 73 nt
Filed under: Penaeus monodon (black tiger shrimp)
Lineage: Eukaryota; Metazoa; Arthropoda; Malacostraca; Decapoda; Penaeidae
Description: tRNA-Arg
Rfam family: tRNA
About the family: Transfer RNA (tRNA) molecules are approximately 80 nucleotides in length. Their secondary structure includes four short double-helical elements and three loops (D, anti-codon, and T loops).
Source: RNAcentral
GGCUCUGUGGCCUAAUGGAUAAGGCGUUGGCCUCCGGAGCCAAAGACUGAGGGUUCGAGUCCCUCCAGAGUCG